This 465-nucleotide ribosomal RNA is filed under the name uncultured bacterium. RNAcentral's name for it is "partial 16S ribosomal RNA". It matches the Rfam family "Bacterial small subunit ribosomal RNA", at positions 329 to 792 of the family's 1533-position model. The record is from RNAcentral.
GACCAGACUCCUACGGGAGGCAGCAGUGAGGAAUAUUGGUCAAUGGCCGUAAGGCUGAACCAGCCAAGUCGCGUGAAGGAAGAAGGAUCUAUGGUUUGUAAACUUCUUUUAUAGGGGAAUAAAGGUAUCCACGUGUGGAUAUUUGCAUGUACCCUAUGAAUAAGCAUCGGCUAACUCCGUGCCAGCAGCCGCGGUAAUACGGAGGAUGCGAGCGUUAUCCGGAUUUAUUGGGUUUAAAGGGUGCGUAGGCGGAUUUUUAAGUCAGCGGUAAAAUGUCCGGGCUCAACCCGGGCCGGCCGUUGAAACUGAGGAUCUUGAGUGGGCGAGAAGUAUGCGGAAUGCGUGGUGUAGCGGUGAAAUGCAUAGAUAUCACGCAGAACUCCGAUUGCGAAGGCAGCAUACCGGCGCCCGACUGACGCUGAGGCACGAAAGCGUGGGGAUCGAACAGGAUUAGAUACCCGAGUA